UACGUAGGAGGCAAGCGUUGUCCGGAAUUACUGGGCGUAAAGCGCGUGUAGGUGGUGGGACAAGUCUGCUGUGAAAGCGCCUGGCUUAACCGGGCGAGGUCGGCGGAAACUGUCCGACUCGAGGACGGUAGAGGGGGGUGGAAUUCCCGGUGUAGUGGUGAAAUGCGUAGAGAUCGGGAGGAACACCAAUGGCGAAGGCAGCUCACUGGGACGGUAUUGACGCUGAGGCGCGAAAGCUAGGGGAGCAAACGGG
This 253-nucleotide ribosomal RNA is filed under the name uncultured bacterium. RNAcentral describes it as "partial 16S ribosomal RNA". It matches the Rfam family "Bacterial small subunit ribosomal RNA", at positions 524 to 776 of the family's 1533-position model. The record is from RNAcentral.